This 60-nucleotide transfer RNA is filed under the name Kleidocerys resedae resedae. Its description in RNAcentral is "tRNA-Ile". Lineage: Eukaryota; Metazoa; Arthropoda; Insecta; Hemiptera; Lygaeidae. The record is from RNAcentral.
UAAAGAUGCCUGAUUAAAGGAUUAUCUUGAUAGGAUAAAACAUGUAUUUUUACUCUUUAU